Molecule: long non-coding RNA, 1081 nt
Organism: Thunnus maccoyii (southern bluefin tuna)
Lineage: Eukaryota; Metazoa; Chordata; Actinopteri; Scombriformes; Scombridae
Exons: 4
Source: RefSeq, a predicted model, not a curated record
CUUCUUCUGGAUUAGGAGAAAGAGGUCCUCCAGCCGUUCUCCUAGACUUGAAACAUCAGACAAUAUGGAGCAGCUAAACCCUGGUCCUGUGUAUGAAGACAUCUCAGCUCAAGCAACAGAGCAGGACGACCUUUACUACAGCAGAAUCAACUUCUCUAAGAACCAGACAAAUCCGCUCUACACCACCGUCCAGCCGCAUCAGCCCCAAGAACAGGAGCAUGUCCCCUAUGCUGUUGUCCACUUAAGAUCCAACACAACCCCUGAGUAAAUGGCCAGAUGGUGGAUCCCUAAAAUUACACAGCAAACAAAAACUUCAAGAGAAUGAAUGUAACCUUCCUUCAUGAUGUACAAAGGGAUAUGUUUCUGGUGUUACAUGAGCGAGCACCUCAGGAGCACACUGGCAGUGAUGGACAUCCAUAGAAACAAGGACCUUUUACAAGCCAUCCUGUUAAACCAUUUUAACUCAGUACAGUAAUUUCACUAUUGCCAUGAAAUGUUGAGCAGACUUUCAUAGUGUCAACAUACAAGGACACAUUUUUGUAAAGUUAUGAAAAUAUUUCAGUCAGUGCAGCCCAGUAGAACACAAUCAUACCUGGUAAAUAUCUUGAAAAUUACCGAAAAACACAUCACUGACACUGGCAACAAAAAAUUUUCUCAAAAAUUUUUGCCUCUCCUACCUUUUAAAUUUAUUCACAAAAUGGAAAAAUUUGAAGAGCAACAUUCACUGGUAGCCAUUCUUAGAGAGCCAUUGUAUUAAAUGACUAACUGUAAGUUAUUUUAUAUUGCUAGCUUGCAGUAGCUAUGCUAGGUAAAACCAACGCACUGAGAAGCUACAGCCUUCUUUGUGGUGCUAAAGCAAAUUAGCUACUUUUUCCUGUAAAUUACUUUAAAUUAGCUUUCUUGUGCUAUUAGUUUGUGUUAAAACUUAUAUGGGUAACAAUACUGUAUUUAAUAUGCUCAUGUAUGGCUCAUGAAAAAAAACUCAUCCAACAUUAUUUGUCUGCGUUGAUACCUUUGUUGCCAAUGAGUCAUGCUAAUAAGCAAACUGAACUAACGUUAGCUUCAGUGGUCAUAUUUUGUA